RNAcentral lists this ribosomal RNA (522 nucleotides) under uncultured bacterium. Its description in RNAcentral is "bacterial SSU rRNA". It matches the Rfam family "Bacterial small subunit ribosomal RNA", at positions 35 to 518 of the family's 1533-position model. The record is from RNAcentral.
GGACGAACGGCUGGCGGCGUGCCUAAUACAUGCAAGUCGAACGGUCUUUCUAUGGAAGCUUGCUUCCACUGAGAAGAUAGUGGCGAACGGGUGAGUAACACGUGGGGUAACCUGCCCAUAAGAGGGGGGAUAACAUCCGGAAACGGGUGCUAAUACCGCAUAGUUUUCUUGAUUGCAUGAUUGAGAAAGGAAAGACGGCCUUUGUGCUGUCGCUUAUGGAUGGACCCGCGGCGUAUUAGUUAGUUGGUGAGGUAACGGCUCACCAAGACGAUGAUACGUAGCCGACCUGAGAGGGUGAUCGGCCACAUUGGGACUGAGACACGGCCCAAACUCCUACGGGAGGCAGCAGUAGGGAAUCUUCCGCAAUGGACGAAAGUCUGACGGAGCAACGCCGCGUGAGUGAAGAAAGGGUUUUCGGAUCGUAAAACUCUGUUGUCAGAGAAGAACAAGUUGGAGAGUAACUGCUCCAGCCUUGACGGUAUCUGACCAGAAAGCCACGGCUAACUACGUGCCAGCCGCGGC